This 69-nucleotide transfer RNA is filed under the name Apsilochorema hwangi. RNAcentral's name for it is "tRNA-Tyr". It matches the Rfam family "tRNA". From Rfam's summary of the family: Transfer RNA (tRNA) molecules are approximately 80 nucleotides in length. The record is from RNAcentral. Lineage: Eukaryota; Metazoa; Arthropoda; Insecta; Trichoptera; Hydrobiosidae.
AGUAAAAUGGCUGAAGGUUUAGGCAAUAAAUUGUAAAUUUAUUUAUAAGAUAUUAUUUCUUUUUUACUA